AAGGCACAAGUUUCUUCCAAGCUGCUCUAAAAUCUCUUUAAGUGUGUAAGCUUCUAAUUAAAGAGAUCCUUUGGAAAUGGCAUCCAUGAAUGCAGAGAGGCUUGGAACUUCCAAAAGUCUGGGAAUCGGAAGCAAAGUCAGUGAAGCUAAGCCAAAGGCCUCUUCACCAAAGUCACCAGCUGCUAAGAAGACUGAACAGACGCCUCGCGCACCAACAAAGAAAGUUCAGGCGAAAGUCAGUAAAUCAGCGGCGAAAAAUUAAGAAAGCAGCAUGAGAAGCACCAUAAAUCGCCUGUACUGAUGCAGAAAAAGCUUAUGUUUUUCAUUUUACUUGGUUUGGUUUUUUCUUUUGUUGCAACUUAUUUAACGAGAAGAAGUUUGUCUACUGAUUCUCUUACCAGGUUGAAUGUAAGAUCUAUGUUAAGUUUGCUUGCUGCAAUAAAAUGAAAGCUUUAUUAGAAUAAACGUAUCAAUGAUGUAAGCGAUAGGAUGAAGGCUUCGUUUGAGAUGUUUUUUUACUACUUCUUAAAGCAGCUUUUUAGUACAACAUUUUUGGAUUUUGUACUAAAAAGAUGUUUUAAGAAGCAGGAAGAAAGCUGUCCCAAACGAAGCCGAAAUCUUGGUUUGAAUCAAAGGAAAACAAACAAGAAUUCAACAUUAAAAACUAAACCGGAAACGUAAGCAUGAAAGAUGUUUUCUUUCAAAUUCUGUUUGGACGGUUUUUUUAUUGCUUACUAAAACAGUUUUCUAGUACAAAAAUUUUUUGAGCUUGAAAUUUUUGUACUAAAUACUGUUUUAAAAAGUAUAGUUGUCUAAAACUCAAAGCUGAGAUAAUAAAGAAAAACUCUACUGUUGUCAUCCACAUAGCAACAAAUUAUUUAUUUACAUUGAUGUCAAUUUUGAAUAAGAUAUAUAACUACUACAAACACUAUAAAUUUCAACCAUAGACUCAACUCUAUCAUGUCCACAGAAAUUGCUCUUACUAAUUCAUUCAACUUACAUUUAACACAAAUGGAUCUGAAGAUUUAAACAACAGGUUUAGCUUUCUCCGUAGUUCUUAACCUGACUUGAUGACCAUAUUAGCUCUGGUAUCAGGACCAGCAGUGUUGUCCACUAAGAGCAUCUCCAAUCGAAAAGUCUCCUUUUUCACUCCAAAAUGCAGUGAAACUUAAAAAAGUUGUGAUUCAUCUCAAAUCGAACUCCAUUUUGCGCACUUCUGCCAAGGUAACUGUCUUUCUCCUCUUUCGUACGUUUCUUCGGCAAAUCGGGUUAAGACAGAAAAAAUCGCGUAUGUGAACACUGCAACGCCAAUAUUGGCGUCGUACUGUUCAUCCGCAAGCAAAUAGCGGAAGAUUUGGCAUUCGGCUGGAGCUACCGAACGAUGCCAUACGCAUAUUUGCCGUUCGGUUGGAGGUGCUCCAUGGGAGUGGUGUAGCUUGUUCCGCAAAUGGAGACCAUUCAUCAGCUCUCUGAGCAUAAGCCUGCACUCUUACAUGAACCAGGGCGCCUUUGAGAGUUUUAUGUCGCUCAACAGGUUGUUUAUUCUUAAGAACCAUAAGCUCUAACUCCAUCUGCAAUAGUUCU
Molecule: long non-coding RNA, 1584 nt
Organism: Dendrobium catenatum
Lineage: Eukaryota; Viridiplantae; Streptophyta; Magnoliopsida; Asparagales; Orchidaceae
Exons: 3
Source: RefSeq, a predicted model, not a curated record